Mauremys reevesii (Reeves's turtle) is the source of this 342-nucleotide long non-coding RNA. RefSeq lists it as uncharacterized. The record is from RefSeq and is a predicted model, not a curated record. Lineage: Eukaryota; Metazoa; Chordata; Testudines; Geoemydidae. The transcript is spliced from 3 exons.
GCUGAGCUCUUCUACAUUGUGGUGCCAGAGUUUGGGACACUGCAGAGAGCUGGCUGUGACAAAGACUCUUCUCUGCACCCUGUCCACAUCUUUCGUGAAUUGUGGAGACCAGAAGUGGACACAGUAUUCCAGCAGUGGUUGUACCAGUGCCAUGUACAGAGAGCUUGAUGAAUAAUUUACAAAUAAAUUGGCAAAAUCAUUUAUUCUUCACAUUGUGAUGGGUUCCCCCUGGUGUGCCACCUGGAACUGGGAUACCAGUGAGCCCUCUGACCCACCAGCCCUGGCUCCCUCUCUCAGUGUGCUGCUGUGACAAACUGCAGACCCGCUCCUGGUCCUACACUU